GACGAACGCUGGCGGCGUGCUUAACACAUGCAAGUCGAACGGUAAGGCCCUUCGGGGUACACGAGUGGCGAACGGGUGAGUAACACGUGGGUGAUCUGCCCUGCACUUUGGGAUAAGCCUGGGAAACUGGGUCUAAUACCGGAUAGGACCAUGCGCUUCACGGUGUGUGGUGGAAAGCUUUUGCGGUGUGGGAUGGGCCCGCGGCCUAUCGGCUUGUUGGUGGGGUAAUGGCCUACCAAGGCGACGACGGGUAGCCGGCCUGAGAGGGUGACCGGCCACACUGGGACUGAGAUACGGCCCAGACUCCUACGGGAGGCAGCAGUAGGGAAUUUUCCACAAUGGGCGAAAGCCUGAUGGAGCAACACCGCGUACAGGAUGAAGGCUUUCGGGUCGUAAACUGCUUUUACUAGUGACGAAUAUGACGGUAACUAGAGAAUAAGGAUCGGCUAACUACGUGCCAGCAGCCGCCGUAA
Molecule: ribosomal RNA, 473 nt
Filed under: uncultured bacterium
Lineage: Bacteria
Description: partial 16S ribosomal RNA
Rfam family: Bacterial small subunit ribosomal RNA
Source: RNAcentral